UUGAACGCUGGCGGCAGGCCUUACACAUGCAAGUCGAACGGUAACAGGAAGAAGCUUGCUUCUUUGCUGACGAGUGGCGGACGGGUGAGUAAUGUCUGGGAAACUGCCUGAUGGAGGGGGAUAACUACUGGAAACGGUAGCUAAUACCGCAUAACGUCGCAAGACCAAAGAGGGGGACCUUCGGGCCUCUUGCCAUCGGAUGUGCCCAGAUGGGAUUAGCUAGUAGGUGGGGUAACGGCUCACCUAGGCGACGAUCCCUAGCUGGUCUGAGAGGAUGACCAGCCACACUGGAACUGAGACACGGUCCAGACUCCUACGGGAGGCAGCAGUGGGGAAUAUUGCACAAUGGGCGCAAGCCUGAUGCAGCCAUGCCGCGUGUAUGAAGAAGGCCUUCGGGUUGUAAAGUACUUUCAGCGGGGAGGAAGGGAGUAAAGUUAAUACCUUGGCUCAUUGACGUUACCCGCAGAAGAAGCACCGGCUAACUCCGUG
This 489-nucleotide ribosomal RNA is filed under the name uncultured bacterium. RNAcentral's name for it is "partial 16S ribosomal RNA". It matches the Rfam family "Bacterial small subunit ribosomal RNA", at positions 30 to 507 of the family's 1533-position model. The record is from RNAcentral.